GGGGGCCGUUCUCUGAUGCUUAUCGUACCUUGUCCUUUGUUCCUUACCUAUUGAAAUAAGUUCUGGGUUUAUGAGAUUUGUUACUUAGCUGGUGAAACAACUUUUUGGUUUGCGAGAUUUGUUCCUCACCUGGUGAAAUAAGUUCUUUGUCUGUCUAAUAUGUUCCACUGAUAAACAAAUUAUCUUAUAUAAUGAACAUCUGUCAUCAGUGAGUUUAAAGUUAUCAUUCAAGUGCAUUACAAAAAUUAGUAAUAUAUUAAUAAUAAAAUGAAUAAAAAUUGUAAAUGAUCCAAUUCGG
Molecule: long non-coding RNA, 298 nt
Filed under: Mytilus galloprovincialis (Mediterranean mussel)
Lineage: Eukaryota; Metazoa; Mollusca; Bivalvia; Mytilida; Mytilidae
Source: RNAcentral